This 1009-nucleotide ribosomal RNA is filed under the name Carnobacterium sp. RNAcentral's name for it is "bacterial SSU rRNA". It matches the Rfam family "Bacterial small subunit ribosomal RNA", at positions 460 to 1533 of the family's 1533-position model. Lineage: Bacteria; Bacillati; Bacillota; Bacilli; Lactobacillales; Carnobacteriaceae. The record is from RNAcentral.
CUCAAUCCCGUGACGGUACUUAACCAGAAGGCACGGCUAACUACGUGCAGCAGCCGCGGUAAUACGUAGGUGGCGAGCGUGAUCGGAUUUAUUGGGCGUAAAGCGAGCGCAGGCGGUUCUUUAAGUGUGAUGUGAAAGCCCUCGGCUCAACCGGGGAGGGUCAUUGGAAACUGGAGAACUUGAGUGCAGAAGAGGAGAGUGGAAUUCCACGUGUAGCGGUGAAAUGCGUAGAUAUGUGGAGGAACACCAGUGGCGAAGGCGACUCUCUGGUCAGUAACUGACGCUGAGGCUCGAAAGCGUGGGGAGCAAACAGGAUUAGAUACCCUGGUAGUCCACGCCGUAAACGAUGAGUGCUAAGUGUUGGAGGGUCUCCGCCCUUCAGUGUUGCAGCUAACGCAUUAAGCACUCCGCUUGGGGAGUAGGGCCGCAAGGUUGAAAUUAAAAGGAAUUGAGGGGGACCCGCCCAAGCGGUGGAUCAUGUGGUUUAAUUGGAAGCAACGGGAAGAACCUUACCAGGUCUGGACAUCCUUUGACCACUCUAGAGAUAGAGCUUUCCCUUCGGGGACAAAGUGACAGGUGGUGCAUGGUUUUCGUCACCUCGUUUCGGGAUAUGUUGGCUUAAUUCCCGCACGGGGCGCAACCCUUUCUAAUAUUUGCCCACAUUUAGUUGGGCACUUUAGUGAGCUCCCCGGUGACUAACCGGAGGAAGGUGGGGACGGUGUCAAAUCUUCAUGCCCCUUAUGGCCUAGGUUACACACCUGUGACAAUCCAUUGUAUAACCAGUUACAAAGUCGGGAGGCCAACCUUACUUUUUAAAUCCCUUAUCACUUCUGUCCGUAGGGAGCCACUCGCUUCCAGGAAGCCGGAAGUGUUAGUAUCCGUUUAUCAGAACGAUCCCCCUAUAACGUUCAGGUUACCCGUACACUACUCACCUCUCACCCCGUGAGUUGGUAACAGCGGAAGCUCGUCAAGUUAACCCGUCGAGCUGCAUGACUAGAAAGAGCCCACU